AUAAUCUAUUAUUGCUUUUAUUUCUACAAAUUCAUCUGUUAUUUUCCUACAGUAUUAUUAGUUUGUGUGUGAUUUGACACACUUUGGGCUAUAAAUUUUAUUUAAAUUUAGUGAACAUGUAUUUAUAUAGAAAUGUGACACUGUUCUACACAAUGAAUUUGCAGACUGUAACCCAAUGUGAUUUUAAUGCAGCAUUUCAAUAUUAAAAAUUUCCUGCCUCUGAGCUAGACAGUAUGUAAAAGGAGAAAAUGUAGAAUGAUAGCAACCAUUAAUGAAAUAUUCUUGAAAAUGUCUAAGCUUAUACGAGUAUAAAAAGAUAAUGAAAGAAAACAAUUUAAGAAAAUAUGUAUGCUUGUAUAUAAAAAAAAGUAGAAAAUGUUUCACAAAAAUAAACUCGGAAGUCUAGCAAUUAAUAUGUUAAUAAAUAUUCUCGUUUAUUUCAUACGAUAUUAACAGCUGAAAUAUUUCAACUUUUGCCAACAUGCUAAGUCAGAUGGUGUCUGAUUAGAGAGGCAGACAGUCCUACAUUACAAACAUCACAGUCAAGUGAACCAAUAGAGGCUAUUAGUUUUCAUCUCUAAAGCUUCAACACUCAGGCUACAUUUUACCUAAUGUUUUGAGGCAAGAUACUGACUAAAAUUGGAGAGAGGGAUCUUGUGACAAGUUUUUAUUACAGUUAUUAUUGAUUUCUUUUUCAAUACUGAGAUGAUAGUGACUGUUGUAACAGUGACAACAGUUCAGUUUUGCUAAAUUCUGAGAAGAGGUUCUUUGUUACGAAGCAAGUGAAGAAUACUUAAAAUAAAAUGCCAUCAACUGGCAAACAUGAAAAAAAAAAUAAUAAAUAAUAAAGAUCACGUUUUAGCAAAAUAAUGGAGACUUUUAGUGAUUCUAAAAAUGACAUAUAUAUUUUUUUUAAUGCCAAGAACAAUUGCAGUCUCCCAGUAUUAGGAAAUGGCUUCAAUGAGAAUUAAAUCAGUCAAAGAUUACAUGUCUGUGAUACAAAGGGGUUACAGUUCCCCAAUAAUUUUUGUUUUAUACCAGAAGCAUUCAUACACUUUAUAAAUCACACUGAUUGAAACUGCAGUUAAUAUGACAUACUUCACAUGUAAGAGUACCAAAUCAAUUCUGAUUUAAAUUAAAUGUAAAUAAUGUGGAAGGUAUAUAUUAUUUACAAAAGAUAAUAUUCAAACCAAUAUUAAAUUCUUAUAAUUUACUUAUUGAAUUCAAGGUUGCUCUGUGCUGAUAUUGUUUCAAUGAAGUUGACAUGUAGGUAAUGUAAAAAGAUUUUAAGGUUCUGGAGAUAUUAGGCCACCUUAGCAGUUCAUUAUUUUAAUACUAAAUAUGAUGAAGAAGUAGAUCUAUGAAAAAAAGUUUUGUAUAGCUAACUGACACUUGUAUUAUGUAGCCAGAAUUUCAAAAAGAAUUACCUUUGAUCUCUAUAUUAGUAAAACAGACCUAAUAUUUUCUUUUUUCAGAAUCUCUUUUCCAUGUCACAAAUUAGUUAAUUUAAGAAAGUAUAGUUUGAACUAAUAACUGAAACAUAAAUUAUGCACUCUAAUAAUUUAGGACACUUCAUAAUGAAAUUGAUUAAUAAUAAUUAAUAAUCAACUAAUUAGUUUGUCAAAAAUAUUCAGAAAAGCUGUUAAAGUUAGCUGUUAAAUUGACUCAAUUCUAAAGAAGAAGAAAAUGACAUGAAUAUUUAAAGUCAGAAUAUAUCAAAAUAGCUGCAUGGUUAAUAAAAACAGAAAGUAUUAUCAUAAAUUGUUCUGGUGUUAUUACUAAUCUAUAAAUUUAAUGUAGUUGAGAAUUUGGUGAUAUAUUUCAUAUUUCAGUCAUUUGUAUCUAAAUUCAAAAACAAGUUAAUCUUAAGAAAAUGGAAAAAAAAAAAGCUGAAACAAUUACCAUAAGUUACUUUCACUAAUUAUUUUUGUUACUUUAUUUAGGGAUCUAAGUCAAAUCUAGCUAGCAAUUAAAUAAACUGAAAUUUAUUUUUAAAAAACCACAGUAUACACAUUAUAUAUUGCAUUAGUAAAGGAAAAUAUAUAGUUUAUACCUUACAAUAUAGAAUAUUUUAUGUGAGUUUAACCAAAUAUAACUAGAUGUUCUUAAAGCAGUCUACAAAACUACUCUUAUAGAUAAAUUCAAAAUUAUAAAAUAUUUCCAAUUUGAUUUCAACAGUGAAAUAGAUUAAACCCAAUUUAUUAAAGUAAAUUAUUUUUCAAUAACUCUGUGUGUGUGUGUGUGUGUAUAUAUCUCCAUACAUAUACAUAACUGCUAUAAUUCUGGAAAAGAAGGGUGGCCAAUUUCUGAAGGAUGACAUUUAUAUCUGAAGAGCAAAUAGUUAGCAGUUGCUGGAAAUUUGUGAAUCAAUUAAGAAUUUUAAGUGAUAUAGUUUUAGGGCUAAUAAAAAUUGAGAAUACAAAAAAAGUCCAGAGAAACAGAAACAAAAUAACAGUGUUAAAAAAUGAAAAAAUAAACUUAAGUUGUGUAAACAAAAUGAGGCUACCAAAUUAAAUGAAAUAAUUGUAUUUCUACAAAUAAUCUAAAGUAAUGAUAACUGAAAGAGAUACUUUCCCUGAUAUAAAGUCAGCCAUUAUACUUGGGUGAAAAAUGUAACUUUUAAGGAUGUAAAUGCUAAGAGUUUAUGGAAAUAAGUAUUAAAUAAUUUUGAGACAAUGAAUAUUUUAGGAAAAAUCCUUGAAGAGAAUUCAUCCUGGAUUGUAAAUGUCACUUUAAAGGCAUUUUUUUUUUUCAUGUUGAAAGAAGAAUCGGAAGUGACAGAAAGCAGAUUGUUAAUGGGAAGAGAAUAGCAAAGGAUAAAGAUUUAAAAUGCCAUGUGACUACCAAAAAUUGUUCAAGUACAGAACAGGUGGAUAUCCCCAACACAUGAAGAAAUAAAUGGUUAGAAAUAUAACAUUUAAAAUAUAAAAGAAUUUUUUAAAGGUUUCACUAAAACUAUGAUUAAUAAAUUUAUCUUUACCAAAUUACUGGGGCAUUACAUUGCUUCCAUAAAAUAAAAUGGUAAGUGUUAAAGAAAUUAAGUGAUUUAAGAUAUUUAAAACAAUGCUGAUUAGUACUUACCUUCAUUAUUUAGGAUAAAAGUGGGAAAAAUAGUUGGGUAAUAAUUGAAAGGGUCAGAGUACUAUAUGCCUUGAGUAGCAUGCCACACUACCAAUUGUAUGCAAAAUUUGAGAUAGAUUUCCCUUGAAGAAAGGAAAUUUCAAAAGUUCAGAGUAAAGCGAUACCAUAAGUAUGUAACCCGGCACCUGACUAUUAUGAAAAUUCACAAAUUCAAGCUCUUGUGAGAAUAUUGUAAACUACCUACCCACAAGCAUAAUUCAGUUGUAAGGCUGAAUAGUUAAUUUUUUAGAAUAUUUAACUAUAAAAAAUGUUAGCUAUAUAUUUCACAACUAAAAUUGUUGGAAAAUUUAUCUUGUACCAGCAUAGAAAAUCUAAUGUAAAUCAUUAAAAAAUAUAUUCAGAGGUAAUCUCUUCAAGCCAGAAUAGUUGAUGGUAAUGACUAGAAUCCAUUGAGGAUUACAGUAUUUGAACAUGGGACAGUAGUGGUAUAUGUUCAUUUGUUGGUAUUUGAAGGAAUACUUUUUUAUGUACAAAAUUAUGAAGAACUGGAAUGUAUUAAAAGAAGUUGAGUUUCUAGUAAGAAAGAGAAGUCAGUAAUGACACUAUAUAACAAAACAAUAGAAAUUUAAGUUAAAAAUAAAAGUAACAUUUGUGAGCCUUACACAACAAUCUCUUGUCUUUGGGACAAACAUAUUAAGUGAUUAAAUUCAUCACUACAUGAUUAUAUUGUUAAAACAAAGCAAAUACUAAAAUUCAAUUUAAAUUAUUUAAGCUUUGCAAGCACAUUUCUACAAAAAGCAAUUAAUAUAUUUUUUUUGCAUUUAAUAAAGAUCAUUUAAAUAACUACAAUUUUUUUUAUUUAUUUCUUCUACUCAAAGGAAACAUGAAGGCUCCACUUUUGAUAACUGCAGUCAACAGGUAUACCAAACUUUUAUCUCCAAUAAAACUUCUAGUACUCAUUUUAUCCACAGGAAAAUAAAGCUGCAUUCACUGCAGUGGAGAUUUAAACACAGAAACAAGAAAAAAAAAACUACAGAGUAUUCACCUUAAGGCUCUUGUCUCUACAACAAAUUUAUAUCUUACCAUCUACAAUAGACCAAGAAUUAAAGUUAAGCUGAGGGCAGUGUCAGCAAUAGCACUGAGUGAGACAACAACUGCAUUUAUUUAUAAAUUUGAAACCAUUACAAAGUUGCAUUUCCUUUAGUACUCAACAUCCCUUCCAAACUGCAUCCCUAAAGGAACACAACAGUAGUAGCACAUAUAUCCCUUUCUUAAUAGAUAAUGAUAAGCAACAUUAUAUUGAAUGAAGAUAGUAUAGCAUUAUUGUUAUCAUUAUGGAUUUUUGUUCUAAUCCUUCUUAAUGUGAAGUUGUAAAUAAAUGUAUAGAAUGUAUCAAAAACAAGAACCGGGUGUUUUUAAAAUAAAAAUAUCUUCUUGGUUACAAACAACCAAUUAAUUUGAAAGAAACAUGGAAGAUUUAAAGUUUCCAUCUUAAAUUUAAGAGAAAGCUCUACAGAAAAAAAUGGUCUUGCCACUGAGCCCCAGUAUAAUUACUGCUACAUAUUUUAUCAAUAUGUAUGAGAUCGAAGGUAAAUUUAUUUCUUAUGGGAUUGAACUAAGAAGAAAUAUAAAACAAUCAGUUAAAUAUCACAUCCUAAAGAAUGUAAUCAGGCUCAUUGCACAAACUCCAUUGCCCAAGAAGUUAAAUAAUGUAAUGCUUUUUAAAAAGAACUUUUUAAAUAAUAACUAAGUUUACAUAAACAAAGAAAGCAUCAAUAAAUUUAAAAGAAUUCUGUGAAAACCUCCAUCUAUAAAGAAUUAACCAAAUUUGGUAGCAAUUUGCUAUUAAAAUACUUAUACCUGUAUCUGACUUUUGUUGAAGUGGUGUGUACAAAGUUUUAACAGCAUCAAAGAAAAACAUUUUACUCUCAUUUGUAAGUUUGAUGUUUAGCAGACCUUUAUUUUUUAAAGGAUUUAAAAAAAAAAAAAGACAUAAAACUCCAAUUUAAGACUGAAUUCAUUAUUCUAAUGAAAUCCCAUAAUACCCUGAUCUCUUUCUACCCAAAAUAAUUUCAAAAUUUUGCCUUUUAAGUUUUCUUCUGUAAAGAAAAUUA
RNAcentral lists this long non-coding RNA (5195 nucleotides) under Octopus vulgaris (common octopus). Lineage: Eukaryota; Metazoa; Mollusca; Cephalopoda; Octopoda; Octopodidae. The record is from RNAcentral.